Molecule: ribosomal RNA, 488 nt
Filed under: uncultured Sphingobacteriales bacterium
Lineage: Bacteria; Pseudomonadati; Bacteroidota; Sphingobacteriia; Sphingobacteriales
Description: bacterial SSU rRNA
Rfam family: Bacterial small subunit ribosomal RNA
Source: RNAcentral
GCUCAGAAACUCAAAGGAAGUUGACGGGGCCCGCACAAGCGGAGGAGCAUGUGGUUUAAUUCGAUGAUACGCGAGGACCUACCUGGGCUCGAACGUAAGAUGACUGUAGGUGAAAGCUUACAUCUCUUCGGAGCAUUUUACGAGGUGCUGCAUGGUUGUCGUCAGCUCGUGCCGUGAGGUGUCGGGUUAAGUCCCAUAACGAGCGCAACCCUACCUUUAGUUGCCAUCAGGUAAUGCUGGGGACUCUAAAGGAACUGCCUACGCAAGUAGUGAGGAAGGCGGGGAUGACGUCAAAUCAGCACGGCCCUUACGUCCAGGGCUACACACGUGCUACAAUGGCCGAUACAGAGGGCAGCUACCUGGCGACAGGAUGCAAAUCUCCAAAGUCGGUCUCAGUUCGGAUCGGAGUCUGCAACCCGACUCCGUGAAGUUGGAUUCGCUAGUAAUCGCGCAUCAGCCAUGGCGCGGUGAAUACGUUCCCGGGCCUU